Molecule: unclassified non-coding RNA, 2666 nt
Filed under: Leishmania donovani
Lineage: Eukaryota; Euglenozoa; Kinetoplastea; Trypanosomatida; Trypanosomatidae
Description: gene:LdHU3.34.0430(CDS-product:Pyridine_nucleotid e-disulphide_oxidoreductase_putative)
Source: RNAcentral
GAAGAAGAACAGCGGAUGCGCACGGCGCUAGAAGGCUCGGUGAAGUCGUCCACCUCCGGCCCGUCCCCUUCCCUUCCACGCCACACGCUCCCGCAAGCACGCACACGCAUCUCGCUGUUGGUGGCGUGCCCGCAAGAUGCGGCGUACGCGACUACCGCGAAUGUACCUGCCGAAGGUUCCCCAAAAGGACCCGAACGCGCACCCACUGCAGGUGCAAAACUCGCAGCAUUUUCUGCGCACGGCCGGCGUCGGCGCGAUAUUGACGGUGAUUCUGUCGGUCUUCUUGGCGCUCCGCCAAGUGCAACAGCGAAGUCGCUUGUCGGAGAAGGAGCUGCUACGCAAGCGAAAAGGGCAGCGCGUCGUCAUUAUCGGAGGUGGCGCUGGCGGGUCCGCCGUGGCGGCGCUCAUCGCAAAUUCCGCGCCAGACUUGAAGAUCACGGUGAUUGAGAAGGAUAAGCAGCAGGUCUUCCUGGGACAUGUCCCCCUCGCCCACGUCGGCCACCGCAGCUACGACAUCGCCACGUCGACAGGCGUGGACAUCGUCCGCUCCCCUGCGGCGUGGAACGUGACCCGGGACGCCAACCUCGUUGCUGCGGAGGUGCUGCGUGUGGACCCAGACGCAAAAAAGGUAUUCGUGCGCACCACCAAAGCCAUGCUGGCCGCCGCAACUGUCCCCAGCUCAGACGACGCAAGCGAGCGCCACCCACGUUGGGGGAUCGACCUCCUGCGUCGCUGCUGGCCCAGUCUUCGUCUGCAGGUGUCGACCGUCUCCAUCAACAACGACGGCAGCACCAACCUCUCGGACGGCACAACGAUGUUUUCGUACGAUGCGUUGGUGGUCGCCGCCGGUGCGCACCGCUCGCUCGGGAGCUUGGCGGGCCAGGUGCAGCCUGGUCAGCUGGACACCCACCGCAUCGCCGUCAACCCUGGUACAACGCGAGACAACCUGGUGAACCUCUUCUCAGGCAAUGUGCUGCACGUGAAGGUGCCACCUGCCUCGUUUGUGCUGCAGAUGGAGGCGGCGCGUGCGUUGAUGACAGCACCACACGCGGCGUCAGGCAGCGGUGUGCCGAGCCUUGACCUGGGCACGACCAUCAGUCCAGCGCUGCGUACGCCGCCGCCGACGGCGGCUCCUUCAACCAGACCCUCCCCUGCAGAAGCACACACGUUUUCUGUGCCCACCUCGCUGGCCCGCUGGUUUGGCACGUUGCGCGCCGCGAUCGCCUCACCUGAAGCGGCAGACGCCGCGCUCAUCCCAGACGAAGUGGCCGAGCGUGUGCGCCCUGUGUCCGGCCUGGCCACCACGGUCUCUCCGUUGGACACACUGGCGCAGUGGUGCAUGCACUACAGCAGCCGCCAGCAUGACAGCACUUUUGUGUCAAGCGUCAACACCAUCUGGAAGUACCUCCACUACUACAACAAACUGAGCCUUUGCCACUACAUGGCGGUGACAGCUGAUCCACAGCCGAUAGGACCGGCGCCGCGAGCGGUGAACGAGGUCAUCGAGAAGUUCUGGCGAGAGCGGCAGCUGGCGUGCCAGCAGCACAGCGGCGGUGUUGCAGAGCGUUUCCAUCUCCUCUUUCACAGCUACUUGGCCGCUGUAGACACCGCAGCCAACGUGGCGACGCUGUACGACUACAGGAAUAAUGUAGAGGUGCGCGUGCCGUACAACUUACUGGUGCUCGACCUCCCGCUCUGCGCACCGUCGUUUGUGCGCCAGAGCGGUCUGCAUCGCAUGCGUUACGUAGACGAGUGCGUGAUGCCCGCGCUGCGGCGCGGCAUAGACGAGGUCGCGGCACAGCAGCUGCGCAGGCAUCCGCUUCUUCGUAAAACAAAGAAGGAGCUGGAGGCGUUCUUCGCGGACGAGGCGUCGUUCAUGGACGUGGACCACGAAACCUUGCAGCACCGCCGUUACGCAGAGAUCUUCGCGCUUGGCGACGUGGCUGGUGUUCCGUCAUUGAAGAGCUACGGCGCAGUGUCUGCUCAAGUUCCUGUCGUUGCCCAUAACGUUCAACAAGUGCUGGCCAGCCAGAGAGCGCAGGCUCAGCAGGACCGAGACUUGGUGGAGCUUCCACGCAGCGAGACUUCUGCUGCGGUGGCACCGGCGCCGGUGCUGCCAAAGGCGAAUGCCAAGUACACGGGCUACUCCUCGUUUCACGUGGUAAUGACCACCUGGCGGGCGAUGUGGCCUGAGAUGUGCUAUGAUGAGCCACAGACGGAGCUGAGGUGCUGCUCGCAAUCGUCGUCGCCGGCCGACUUGGCGGAGGCCGCUACCAAACGGGGGCUGGAUGUGGUUGCCCCUCUCGCGCACUGCGAUCAUCACCUGUGGGACAGCCUUGCCUGGCGGGACCUGCGUGGCUUCCUGAAUGGCCUCUUCCACGAGCUUGCCCUCUACGAGGUGAUGUACUUCUUCAUCUUCAGCCGUGGGCUGUGGCACUCGCCGUCGUGGUUUUACGUGCCGACGUACUCCCCGAUCGACGGCACACCGCGCGUUCCCACGUGGAAGGACCUCCUUUGAGUGGUGCAAACGUCACGGAAAGCGGACGGAGAGGGAGCAGCGGCGGACAGCGGUGUGUCACGAUUUUUGCAUGUGUGUGCUCCACUGGCACAAAGUGCCGGGGCUCGAUAAAGUCGUCGUCGUUUUUUGUUGCUCGGUUACUCCCCAG